UACGGAGGAUCCAAGCGUUAUCCGGAUUUAUUGGGUUUAAAGGGUGCGUAGGCGGCCAUUUAAGUCAGGGGUGAAAGACGGUGGCUCAACCAUCGCAGUGCCCUUGAUACUGAUUGGCUUGAAUGUACUAGAGGAAGGCGGAAUGAGACAAGUAGCGGUGAAAUGCAUAGAUAUGUCUCAGAACACCGAUUGCGAAGGCAGCUUUCCAUGGUACCAUUGACGCUGAGGCACGAAAGCGUGGGGAUCAAACAGG
This 253-nucleotide ribosomal RNA is filed under the name uncultured bacterium. RNAcentral describes it as "partial 16S ribosomal RNA". It matches the Rfam family "Bacterial small subunit ribosomal RNA", at positions 524 to 776 of the family's 1533-position model. The record is from RNAcentral.